GGGUUAGUAAAGGUUUCGACAGGGAUCUUGCAGCUGGAGAAGCUAUCCGCACGUGAUGCGUCAAAUCACAACUUUAAACACAAACGCUGAAGAUAAUUUAGCAUACGCAGCCUAAUGGCUGCUGUCCGUCCUAAUGCACCUACACCUUAGGGUACGGGCAUCGAGCCUGUAGGAAACGACACCGGCAAAGCUUUGAGCCAGUGGGCGUACCAUGAAGCUACUGAACGCACAGGGGUGCCAAUCUCCCGGUGCCGGAGGGAAUGAGGAGCAAUCCAAAAUGAUAGGCUACGAUAGUAGAAGGACAGGGAAUGGCUCUUUGGACGCGGGUUCGACUCCCGCCUAAUCCAUCC
This 350-nucleotide transfer-messenger RNA is filed under the name Lachnospiraceae. Its description in RNAcentral is "JAGPKJ01 sp018053995 Standard tmRNA". It matches the Rfam family "transfer-messenger RNA". Rfam says of the family: Bacterial tmRNA, also known as 10Sa RNA or SsrA, is named for its dual tRNA and mRNA-like properties. Its role is to liberate the mRNA from a stalled ribosome. Lineage: Bacteria; Bacillati; Bacillota; Clostridia; Lachnospirales. The record is from RNAcentral. RNAcentral also lists the same sequence under 1 other name.